This 447-nucleotide ribosomal RNA is filed under the name uncultured bacterium. RNAcentral's name for it is "bacterial SSU rRNA". It matches the Rfam family "Bacterial small subunit ribosomal RNA", at positions 331 to 793 of the family's 1533-position model. The record is from RNAcentral.
CCAGACUCCUACGGGAGGCAGCAGUGGGGAAUAUUGCACAAUGGGGGGAACCCUGAUGCAGCGACGCCGCGUGAGUGAAGAAGUAUUUCGGUAUGUAAAGCUCUAUCAGCAGGGAAGAUAAUGACGGUACCUGACUAAGAAGCCCCGGCUAACUACGUGCCAGCAGCCGCGGUAAUACGUAGGGGGCAAGCGUUAUCCGGAUUUACUGGGUGUAAAGGGUGCGUAGGUGGCAGGGCAAGUCAGAUGUGAAAGCCCGGGGCCCAACCCCGGUACUGCAUUUGAAACUGUCCGGCUGGAGUGCAGGAGAGGUAAGCGGAAUUCCUAGUGUAGCGGUGAAAUGCGUAGAUAUUAGGAGGAACACCGGCGGCGAAGGCGGCCUGCUGGACCGCGACUGACGUUGAGGCUCGAAAGCGUGGGGAGCGAACAGGAUUAGAUACCCCGGUACAG